This is a long non-coding RNA of Lactuca sativa (garden lettuce), 753 nucleotides long. RefSeq lists it as uncharacterized. The record is from RefSeq and is a predicted model, not a curated record. Lineage: Eukaryota; Viridiplantae; Streptophyta; Magnoliopsida; Asterales; Asteraceae.
UAUUUCACCCCCACCCCCACCGUCGAUUCCAUUUGCGUUAACCCUCCUCCCUCGCCUGCUUCUUCUACAUCACCAAUGAAGAAUGCCAUAUAUACGCCACCAUUGAAGCCACUGAUCAAAGUCAUUCCUCUUAGCCACCAUCAUCAAAUCUGUUUGCUCAAACAAUCCUACCCCGUAGCCACUAAUUUUCGUCACCGCCAUCAAUUUACUCCAUCAGUGGAUGUGGAGGUUUUCGAUUUCAUCUAUUAGGGAUCAAAUGAGUUCGAGGGCUUCCAACAUGUGUUAUUUAUGGGUUUUUGUUUGUUAAGAUAUUAUGUUGUGUUUUUCGAUUUUACUUGAUUUGAUUUAUGGGCUUUUUCGAGUAUAUUACUUGAUAACAUGUUUGAUUUACUAAUAGGCAAAUAAAUCUGCAGCAAACCGUCUCUGAACGAACCAGUGGUGUUGGUUCUUGGUGCUUUAUAAAGUUAACAGAUCUGGAAGGGCUGGUAUCAUUUUUGAAGGAAGGAAGGAUGAUGCUAUUCAGAUCUACAAGUUCAUUGAGAUAAAGAUUUGACAAGUUUCAUUCCUGAGUAGAUAUGAAGUUCAUAUGUGUUUAAAAGUAUGUCUACCAUUUGAGUUCAAAUACUCUUAUUGUUCAGAUCUUAUGAUAAAUGUUGUAUUUCAUUUUGCUUUUCAAUUAAAGUCUUGUAUAAAAGAUGUGGAUUGAAUAAUGAUGACAGAGUUGUAUAUAAUUGAAUAAAUUUAUUUUGGCAA